This 1104-nucleotide ribosomal RNA is filed under the name Pediococcus pentosaceus. RNAcentral describes it as "bacterial SSU rRNA". It matches the Rfam family "Bacterial small subunit ribosomal RNA", at positions 397 to 1479 of the family's 1533-position model. Lineage: Bacteria; Bacillati; Bacillota; Bacilli; Lactobacillales; Lactobacillaceae. The record is from RNAcentral.
CCCCGUGAGUGAAAAAAGGGUUUUCGGCUUCGUAAAAGCUUCUGUUGUUAAAGGAAGAAACGGGGGUAAGGAGUAACUGUUUACCCCAGUGACCGGUAUUUAACCCAGAAAAGCCCCGGGCUAACUACGUGCCCAGCAGCCGCGGUAAAUACGUAGGUGGCAAGCGUUAUCCGGAUUUAUUGGGGCGUAAAGCGAGCGCAGGCGGUCUUUUAAGUCUAAUGUGAAAGCCUUUCGGCUCAACCGAAGAAGUGCAUUGGAAACUGGGAGACUUGAGUGCAGAAGAGGACAGUGGAACUCCAUGUGUAGCGGUGAAAUGCGUAGAUAUAUGGAAGAACACCAGUGGCGAAGGCGGCUGUCUGGUCUGCAACUGACGCUGAGGCUCGAAAGCAUGGGUAGCGAACAGGAUUAGAUACCCUGGUAGUCCAUGCCGUAAACGAUGAUUACUAAGUGUUGGAGGGUUUCCGCCCUUCAGUGCUGCAGCUAACGCAUUAAGUAAUCCGCCUGGGGAGUACGACCGCAAGGUUGAAACUCAAAAGAAUUGACGGGGGCCCGCACAAGCGGUGGAGCAUGUGGUUUAAUUCGAAGCUACGCGAAGAACCUUACCAGGUCUUGACAUCUUCUGACAGUCUAAGAGAUUAGAGGUUCCCUUCGGGGACAGAAUGACAGGUGGUGCAUGGUUGUCGUCAGCUCGUGUCGUGAGAUGUUGGGUUAAGUCCCGCAACGAGCGCAACCCUUAUUACUAGUUGCCAGCAUUAAGUUGGGCACUCUAGUGAGACUGCCGGUGACAAACCGGAGGAAGGUGGGGACGACGUCAAAUCAUCAUGCCCCUUAUGACCUGGGCUACACACGUGCUACAAUGGAUGGUACAACGAGUCGCGAGACCGCGAGGUUAAGCUAAUCUCUUAAAACCAUUCUCAGUUCGGACUGUAGGCUGCAACUCGCCUACACGAAGUCGGAAUCGCUAGUAAUCGCGGAUCAGCAUGCCGCGGUGAAUACGUUCCCGGGCCUUGUACACACCGCCCGUCACACCAUGAGAGUUUGUAACACCCAAAGCCGGUGGGGUAACCUUUUAGGAGCUAGCCGUCUAAGUGAACAGAGUUUGGG